AGGCAGCAGGGGGGAAUCUUGCGCAAUGGGCGAAAGCCUGACGCAGCGACGCCGCGUGAGGGAAGAAGGCCUUCGGGUUGUAAACCUCUUUCAGGAGGGACGAAGCUACUCGGGUUAAUAGCCCAGAGGGUGACGGUACCUCCAGAAGAAGCCCCGGCUAACUACGUGCCAGCAGCCGCGGUAAUACGUAGGGGGCAAGCGUUGUCCGGAUUUACUGGGCGUAAAGAGCGUGUAGGCGGCAAAGCAGGUCUGUUGUGAAAACUGGAGGCUCAACCUCCAGACGUCGACAGAAACCGCUUGGCUAGAGUCCGGAAGAGGAGAGUGGAAUUCCUGGUGUAGCGGUGAAAUGCGCAGAUAUCAGGAAGAACACCAAUGGCGAAGGCAGCUCUCUGGGACGGUACUGACGCUGAGACGCGAAAGCGUGGGGAGCGAACAGGAUUAGAUACCCUGGUAGUCCACGCCGUAAACGAUGGGUGCUAGGUGUGGGGGGUGUCGACUCCCUCCGUGCCGCAGCUAACGCAUUAAGCACCCCGCCUGGGGAGUACGGCCGCAAGGCUAAAACUCAAAGGAAUUGACGGGGACCCGCACAAGCAGCGGAGCAUGUGGUUUAAUUCGAUGCAACGCGAAGAACCUUACCAGGGCUUGACAUGCACUAGAAAACCGUAGAAAUACGGUCCUCCUUCGGGACUGGUGCACAGGUGGUGCAUGGCUGUCGUCAGCUCGUGUCGUGAGAUGUUGGGUUAAGUCCCGCAACGAGCGCAACCCCUGUCCUAUGUUGCCAGCGAGUAAUGUCGGGGACUCAUGGGAGACUGCCGGUGACAAAUCGGAGGAAGGUGGGGAUGACGUCAAGUCAUCAUGCCCCUUAUGUCCUGGGCUACACACGUGCUACAUUGGCCGGUACAAAGGGCUGCAAACUCGCGAGAGUGAGCGAAUCCCAAAAAGCCGGUCCCGGUUUGGAUUGAAGGCUGAAACUCGCCUUCAUGAAGGCGGAGUUGCUAGUAAUCGCGGAUCAGCAGCGCCGCGGUGAAUACGUACACGGGCCUUGUACACACCGCCAUCCAUAUGACUUG
Molecule: ribosomal RNA, 1070 nt
Filed under: uncultured Actinomycetes bacterium
Lineage: Bacteria; Bacillati; Actinomycetota; Actinomycetes
Description: bacterial SSU rRNA
Rfam family: Bacterial small subunit ribosomal RNA
Source: RNAcentral